CCCUGAAUCACCCCUGCAAACCUGCCGGAAGAAAAACACAGCAUGAGCCGAUUGCCCAGUACGGAUACAGAUAUACAAAAGAUAUACAACUGAUAUACGAAAAUAACUGAGACAAAAUACUGAACAAAGCCUCAAGUACAAAUACGAACGAAAAUAUAAUAUCCAAAGAUCUGAAUGGAAUAUAUCUGAAUCAACGUAAUGAAUAUAUCUGAAUCAACGUAAUUGACGAAUCCAAUAAAAGAAUAAGGAAAUAACGAACUGAAGUAACUAACUCAAUGACUUGAACUGAAUAGAAACCAACAAAACUAAUCUAAUAAAAUAAUAGGCUGAAACAAAUGGCUGGAAUUAUUUUAUACCGAAUGAGCUCAGAAAUACACAUUGCCACACAGGCAAGUCAAAAUAAUGCCACACAGGCAAGUCAAAUGAUGCCACACAGGCAACCAAAAUAAUGCCACACAGGCAAAUCACAUAUUGGACCGCGAAUCCAAAUGUAUGCAAAUCGGAUAGGUGUGU
RNAcentral lists this long non-coding RNA (513 nucleotides) under Panax ginseng (ginseng). Its description in RNAcentral is "long non-coding RNA (PGIN_LNC004201)". The record is from RNAcentral. Lineage: Eukaryota; Viridiplantae; Streptophyta; Magnoliopsida; Apiales; Araliaceae.